Molecule: ribosomal RNA, 499 nt
Filed under: Bacillus sp. (in: firmicutes)
Lineage: Bacteria; Bacillati; Bacillota; Bacilli; Caryophanales; Bacillaceae
Description: bacterial SSU rRNA
Source: RNAcentral
GACGAACGCUGGCGGCGUGCCUAAUACAUGCAAGUCGAGCGAACCRAYAAGAAGCUUGCUUUUUGUYGGUUAGCGGCGGACGGGUGAGUAACACGUGGGUAACCUGCCUGUAAGAYCGGGAUAACUCCGGGAAACCGGUGCUAAUACCGGAUAGAUUAUCUUUCCGCCUGGAGAGAUAAGGAAAGAUGGCUWUUGCCAUCACUUACAGAUGGGCCCGCGGCGCAUUAGCUAGUUGGUGAGGUAACGGCUCACCAAGGCGACGAUGCGUAGCCGACCUGAGAGGGUGAUCGGCCACACUGGGACUGAGACACGGCCCAGACUCCUACGGGAGGCAGCAGUAGGGAAUCUUCCGCAAUGGACGAAAGUCUGACGGAGCAACGCCGCGUGAGCGAAGAAGGUCUUCGGAUCGUAAAGCUCUGUUGUUAGGGAAGAACAAGUAUCGGAGGAAAUGCCGGUACCUUGACGGUACCUGACGAGAAAGCCACGGCUAACUACGUGC